AUCUUUUUAGUACAAAAAGUAUAAUUAGCCUCCAACUAAUAGAUUAAAUAAAUUAAAAAGAUA
Molecule: transfer RNA, 63 nt
Filed under: Lycorma meliae
Lineage: Eukaryota; Metazoa; Arthropoda; Insecta; Hemiptera; Fulgoridae
Description: tRNA-Gly
Source: RNAcentral